UACGUAGGGCGCAAGCGUUGUCCGGAAUUAUUGGGCGUAAAGAGCUCGUAGGCGGCCUGUUGCGUCCGCUGUGAAAUCCCGGGGCUCAACCCCGGGCCUGCAGUGGAUACGGGCUGGCUAGAGGCAGGCAGGGGAGAACGGAAUUCCUGGUGUAGCGGUGAAAUGCGCAGAUAUCAGGAGGAACACCGAUGGCGAAGGCAGGUCUCUGGGCAUGUCCUGACGCUGAGGAGCGAAAGUGUGGGGAGCGAACAGG
Molecule: ribosomal RNA, 253 nt
Filed under: uncultured bacterium
Lineage: Bacteria
Description: partial 16S ribosomal RNA
Rfam family: Bacterial small subunit ribosomal RNA
Source: RNAcentral